ACACGACUACAUUAGACUACCCCCGUAGUCCUAGCCGUAAACGAUACUCGCUAGGUGUCGGCCACGGUGCGACCGUUGUCGGUGCCGUAGGGAAGCCGUGAAGCGAGCCACCUGGGAAGUACGGUCGCAAGACUAGAAACUUAAAGGAAUUGGCGGGGGAGCACCGCAACGGGAGGAGCGUGCGGUUCAAUUGGAUUCAACGACCGAAAAACUCACCAGGAGCGACGGAUAUAUGAAGGUCAAGCUGAUGACUUUACCUGAUUUUCCG
Molecule: ribosomal RNA, 268 nt
Filed under: uncultured archaeon
Lineage: Archaea
Description: partial 16S ribosomal RNA
Rfam family: Archaeal small subunit ribosomal RNA
Source: RNAcentral